GACGAACGCUGGCGGCGUGCUUAACACAUGCAAGUCGAACGGUGAAGCGCCUUCCUUUUUGGUGGGUGUGGAUGAGUGGCGAACGGGUGAGUAACACGUGAGUAACCUGCCCCCUUCUUCUGGAUAACCGCAUGAAAGUGUGGCUAAUACGGGAUAUUCUGGGUCUGUCGCAUGAUGGGUCUGGGAAAGAUAUUGUUUCGGUGGGGGAUGGGCUCGCGGCCUAUCAGCUUGUUGGUGGGGUGAUGGCCUACCAAGGCGGUGACGGGUAGCCGGCCUGAGAGGGUGGACGGUCACACUGGGACUGAGACACGGCCCAGACGACUACGAGAGGCAGCAGUAGGGAAGAUUGCACAAUGGGCGCAAGCCUGAUGCAGCGACGCCGCGUGAGGGAUGGAGGCCUUCGGGUUGUGAACCUCUUUCGCCAGUGAAGCAGGCCUGCCUCGUUUGUGGGUGGGUUGACGGUAGCUGGAUAAGAAGCGCCGGCUAACUACGUG
RNAcentral lists this ribosomal RNA (494 nucleotides) under uncultured bacterium. Its description in RNAcentral is "partial 16S ribosomal RNA". It matches the Rfam family "Bacterial small subunit ribosomal RNA", at positions 28 to 507 of the family's 1533-position model. The record is from RNAcentral.